CGAUGAAGCCCAGCUUGCUGGGUGGAUUAGUGGCGAACGGGUGAGUAACACGUGAGUAACCUGCCCCCGACUCUGGGAUAAGCCCGGGAAACUGGGUCUAAUACCGGAUAUGACCUCGCACCGCAUGGUGCGGGGUGGAAAGAUUUAUCGGUGGGGGAUGGACUCGCGGCCUAUCAGCUUGUUGGUGAGGUAAUGGCUCACCAAGGCGACGACGGGUAGCCGGCCUGAGAGGGUGACCGGCCACACUGGGACUGAGACACGGCCCAGACUCCUACGGGAGGCAGCAGUGGGGAAUAUUGCACAAUGGGCGCAAGCCUGAUGCAGCGACGCCGCGUGAGGGAUGACGGCCUUCGGGUUGUAAACCUCUUUCAGUAGGGAAGAAGCGAAAGUGACGGUACCUGCAGAAGAAGCGCCGGCUAACUACGUGCCAGCAGCCGCGGUAAUACGUAGGGCGCAAGCGUUAUCCGGAUUUAUUGGGCGUAAAGAGCUCGUAGGCGGUUUGUCGCGUCUGCCGUGAAAGUCCGAGGCUCAACCUCGGAUCUGCGGUGGGUACGGGCAGACUAGAGUGAUGUAGGGGAGACUGGAAUUCCUGGUGUAGCGGUGAAAUGCGCAGAUAUCAGGAGGAACACCGAUGGCGAAGGCAGGUCUCUGGGCAUUUACUGACGCUGAGGAGCGAAAGCAUGGGGAGCGAACAGGAUUAGAUACCCUGGUAGUCCAUGCCGUAAACGUUGGGCACUAGGUGUGGGGGACAUUCCACGUUUUCCGCGCCGUA
Molecule: ribosomal RNA, 772 nt
Filed under: Arthrobacter sp.
Lineage: Bacteria; Bacillati; Actinomycetota; Actinomycetes; Micrococcales; Micrococcaceae
Description: bacterial SSU rRNA
Rfam family: Bacterial small subunit ribosomal RNA
Source: RNAcentral